ACAUUGUCCUUUCUCUUUCAUCCGCAUAGAAACUUAUUGUGCGUGAAAUUCAAAUCCUCUUCCCUCAUUCAGAAAUUAAAUCCUUAGUUCGCAUUGUUUCGACCUUUUUUUUCCAGAGAACCUUCGACCUCGGAUAUCCAUCGACGCUGGAGAACAUGGACGCAGCUGAUAAGGGGGCUCCUACCCUAUUGAGACCGAGCACUAUUAAUGUAACGUCGGAUGUUGGCACGUAUUAUAAAAUCAAGUAUUUAGGCAAGGUGAAAAAAAUAUUAAAGGAUAAAGGCGGUGAACAAUUGUUGAAUAUAUUUUUAGGCGGUUGUUUUGGACAUCUUGUGGAUUGGAAUCCUGGUCCUAAAUGUGCGAUGACCGUGCAUCAUGUAGUCUCUCGUCAAAUAAAGUCUAAUGAUGAUGGUUUAUAUUUUUUAUUAAAUAAUACCAGAGUUCAUUAUUCUAGGAGGGAUUAUGCUCUAGUGACUGGUCUUCAAUUUGGUGAUUUUAAUUUUGAUAUGUCACGUAAUCAUGAUGUGAGUAGAGUGGAAGUGUUUAAGAGGUUUAGUUGUGGCCAGUCUCACGUGAAAGUGUAGUUUCUCUAUGAUCUUUUUGAUAAUUUUAAGAUUGAUGAUGAGGAUGGAAGUUUAUACCUGAGGAUUGCCUAUAUUUUAGUUUUAUAUGGAAUGCUGGUAGGUUAUGAGACUGAUAAAACAGUUGAGAAUUGGGUUUGGGCAUUAGUGGAUGAUCUCGAUGCAUUUAACCGAUUUCCGUGGGGGGCGUAUACUUAUAAUAUAUUGUGCAAUUAUGCUACAAAUUGCGUCUCUAAAAACCAAUAUAAAUUCUAUGGACCUGUUUGGGCGUUGCAUGUGUGGUCGCUAGAGAUCAUGCCCGACUUAGGUAAUGUUGUCGGUAAUUGUGUUGCUGAGUUUGCGCACCCUAAGUGGAAAUUUCGCAGUAGACCGGCUACGAAGGAUUUAAGCCCAUUUUUCAUGAAAGAG
Salvia miltiorrhiza (redroot sage) is the source of this 989-nucleotide long non-coding RNA. RefSeq lists it as uncharacterized. Lineage: Eukaryota; Viridiplantae; Streptophyta; Magnoliopsida; Lamiales; Lamiaceae. The transcript is spliced from 2 exons. The record is from RefSeq and is a predicted model, not a curated record.